Molecule: ribosomal RNA, 495 nt
Filed under: uncultured bacterium
Lineage: Bacteria
Description: bacterial SSU rRNA
Rfam family: Bacterial small subunit ribosomal RNA
Source: RNAcentral
ACGCGACUGGGGCUUCGGCCUCAGUUGAGUGGCGAACGGGUGAGUAACACGUGGGUGACCUACCUUCGAGUGGGGGAUAACGUCCCGAAAGGGACGCUAAUACCGCAUAACAUCCUGCCUUUGAACAGGCGGAGAUCAAAGCCGGGGAUCGCAAGACCUGGCGCUUGAUGAGGGGCCCGCGCCUGAUUAGCUAGUUGGUGAGGUAAUGGCUCACCAAGGCGACGAUCAGUAUCCGGCCUGAGAGGGCGGACGGACACACUGGGACUGAGACACGGCCCAGACUCCUACGGGAGGCAGCAGUGGGGAAUUGUUCGCAAUGGGCGCAAGCCUGACGACGCAACGCCGCGUGGAGGAUGAAGGUCUUCGGAUUGUAAACUCCUGUUGCUCGGGACGAAAAGCUCCGACCUAACACGUCGGAGUCUGACGGUACCGAGUGAGGAAGCCCCGGCUAACUCUGUGCCAGCAGCCGCGGUAAUACAGAGGGGGCAAGCGUUG